Molecule: signal recognition particle RNA, 160 nt
Filed under: Candidatus Pullilachnospira intestinigallinarum
Lineage: Bacteria; Bacillati; Bacillota; Clostridia; Lachnospirales; Lachnospiraceae
Description: partial signal recognition particle sRNA large type
Rfam family: Bacterial large signal recognition particle RNA
About the family: The signal recognition particle (SRP) is a universally conserved ribonucleoprotein involved in the co-translational targeting of proteins to membranes. Archaeal SRP consists of a 7S RNA and homologues of the eukaryotic SRP19 and SRP54 proteins.
Source: RNAcentral
GUGGCGUUGACGUCUGGGUCUUACGCAACAGGAAUCUGUGAACCGUGUCAGGGCAGGAAUGCAGCAGCACUAAGCAGAACCUUCUGUGUGCCGUAAGGGCGCCUGGGCCGAGUUAACUGUAGGAGUAACGUCCGUGAAGACGGUUCGAGGUGCGGCGCGC